UACGUAGGGUGCGAGCGUUAAUCGGAAUUACUGGGCGUAAAGGGUGCGCAGGCGGCCCUGCAAGUCAGGCGUGAAAUCCCCGGGCUUAACCUGGGAAUGGCGCUUGAUACUACAGGGCUAGAGUGUGGCAGAGGGAGGUGGAAUUCCACGUGUAGCGGUGAAAUGCGUAGAGAUGUGGAGGAACACCGAUGGCGAAGGCAGCCUCCUGGGUCAACACUGACGCUCAUGCACGAAAGCGUGGGGAGCAAACAGG
This 253-nucleotide ribosomal RNA is filed under the name uncultured bacterium. Its description in RNAcentral is "partial 16S ribosomal RNA". It matches the Rfam family "Bacterial small subunit ribosomal RNA", at positions 524 to 776 of the family's 1533-position model. The record is from RNAcentral.